This 254-nucleotide ribosomal RNA is filed under the name uncultured bacterium. RNAcentral describes it as "partial 16S ribosomal RNA". It matches the Rfam family "Bacterial small subunit ribosomal RNA", at positions 524 to 776 of the family's 1533-position model. The record is from RNAcentral.
UACGUAGGGAGCAAGCGUUGAUCGGAUUUACUGGGCGUAAAGGGCGCGUAGGCGGCAAAUUAAGUCAGCUGUGAAAUCUCCGAGCUUAACUCGGAACUGUCAGCUGAUACUGAUCUGCUAGAGUGCGGAAGGGGCAAUCGGAAUUCUUGGUGUAGCGGUGAAAUGCGUAGAUAUCAAGAGGAACACCUGAGGUGAAGACGGGUUGCUGGGCCGACACUGACGCUGAGUGCGCGAAAGCCAGGGGAGCAAACGGG